This is an RNA transcript of Tripterygium wilfordii, 891 nucleotides long. It is a transcript of the gene named receptor-like protein 14, with no coding region annotated. The transcript is spliced from 4 exons. Lineage: Eukaryota; Viridiplantae; Streptophyta; Magnoliopsida; Celastrales; Celastraceae. The record is from RefSeq and is a predicted model, not a curated record.
AGGAAAAAAAAAAGUAGAAACUAUUGGUGUAGGCUCUAAUUUUUUACUUGUGUGUUGAUCUUGGGUAGAAUUUAAUCAUCUGAUCAACUUGGAGAAGUUGGAUAUGAGUGGAAAUAGAAUUGAAAGCUUUGGUUCCUUUCAAGGUGUUGAUAGACUACUGCCAUGGAGUAAUCUGGAGGUCCUUAAUUUGGAGCAUAACCUCUUCAAUAACAGUGUUCUUUCUUCCCUUCGUGGACUUCUCCAACUCAAGUCUCUCAAUUUAGCCGAAAACCAAAUGGCGGGGGCUUUCCAUGUUAGAGAGUUGGAAUCGUUAAAGAAGUUAGAGGAGCUAGACAUCAGCAACAAUGCGAUUGAAAAAUUUGUGGGCCCUGAAGGUAUUGAUAAAAUCUUAAAUUGGAUAUAUCAGAUUAUACAGCUUUUAAGCAAAGUCAUUAAAUUUGGUGAAUUUUCAUUCCCGAAACAAAAUCAUGUUGCAUCACGUUACAUUGAUUAUAAGCAUCUAACUUCUUUUUUAAUGGACAAAGAUAUAUCUUGUAUUGUAGUCUUGUAAAUUAUUUCAUUUCAUGGAUGCGAUUUUUAGUAUAUAUCGUCAACUCAGAAUUGUUGGAGCAGAACCUAACAGGAUUGGAGAUUGUUUGUAUUCACUAUUAUAGAUUCGACAACUCUGGACAAGCUUAAGAUCCUCCGAUUAGGCAACUUCCUAAACUAUGGAAAAAGCUUUGUAGUGCUGCAAUCAUUAGGGGGGUUCUCAUCCCUGAAGACACUGGAUCUUCGAUAUAGUAAUCUCAGUGAGACAACAAUCCAUCAAGCGUUAGGCAAUUUGAGCACACUGGAAGAGUUGUUCCUGGAUUAUUCUACUCUCCAUCCAGACUUCCUCUCAAGCAUUGGAAG